This 250-nucleotide ribosomal RNA is filed under the name uncultured bacterium. RNAcentral describes it as "partial 16S ribosomal RNA". It matches the Rfam family "Bacterial small subunit ribosomal RNA", at positions 355 to 622 of the family's 1533-position model. The record is from RNAcentral.
UCGGGAAUUUUGGGCAAUGGGCGAAAGCCUGACCCAGCAACGCCGCGUGAAGGAUGAAGUAUUUCGGUAUGUAAACUUCGAAAGAAUGGGAAGAAUAAAUGACGGUACCAUUUAUAAGGUCCGGCUAACUACGUGCCAGCAGCCGCGGUAAUACGUAGGGACCAAGCGUUGUUCGGAUUUACUGGGCGUAAAGGGCGCGUAGGCGGCUUGACAAGUCACUUGUGAAAUCUCCGGGCUUAACUCGGAACGG